Microcebus murinus (gray mouse lemur) is the source of this 928-nucleotide non-coding RNA. The record is from RefSeq and is a predicted model, not a curated record. Lineage: Eukaryota; Metazoa; Chordata; Mammalia; Primates; Cheirogaleidae.
AGCCGGCAUCUCAGACAGACCACAUGACAGACUCUGACAGGAUCCAGAGCUGCAGAAGGGAGGUGGUGGCCAGGGAGUUGGGUGAGCUGCUCUACAACAAGUCCGAGUACAUGGAGACGGCAUCUGGGAACAAAGUUAGCUGCCAGUCAGAGCUGUGUGGAAGCCAGAACAUCGUUCUUAGUGGCAAGACCAUUGUGAUAAAUGACUGCAUUAUCCGAGGGGAUCUGGCAAAUUUAAGAGUUGGACGCCAUUGUGUUGAGAAGAGUCGUAGUGUCAUAAGGCCACCAUUCAAGAAAUUCAGUAAAGGCAUUGCAUUCUUUCCAUUACAUAUUGGGGACCAUGUCUUUAUUGAGGAAGAUUGUGUGGUCAACGCAGCUCAGAUUGGUUCCUACGUUCAUGUUGGCAAGAACUGUGUGAUUGGGCACCAGUGUGUGUUAAAAGACUGCUGCAAAAUUCUUGACAACACAGUAUUACCUCCAGAAACUGGGGUCCCACCAUUCACUGUCUUCUCAGGCUGCCCAGGACUCUUCUCAGGGAAGCUUCCCGACUGUACUCAGGAGCUGAUGAUCGACGUCACCAAGAGCUACUACCAGAAAUUUUUGCCCCUGACACAAGUGUAGUGUCUCUGUCUCAUGUCUUGAUUUGCUUGAGCUCUAAAAUGAACCUGGGGACAAAGUAAGCCAGUCAGCAUCUACAAAGAACUCUGUGUUUUUGACACCUUCCACUCUCCUCCUUUUAAUAACAUUCUUUAGAAUGUCUCAACCUUUCAAGCAUCCAAGCUCCUAAGAAUUUAAUAACAGAAGAGCUGGAGGAGUUGUCUUCAACUGCUGUGCUUAUACCUUAUCUAUUAACAGUCACUUCAUACCAUUAUCUGUGGUACACAAAGUCAUCUGUUCCCAACACUCCCACCCCUUGGUCCUGUGGAUGA